GCCCCCCUCCCUUGGGGUCCGGUUCCCCGCGGCCGGCCUCCCUCUUUCCACCGUGGUGGGCGCCUGCCCGGGGCUUUACCCUGUUCUCUGUGCCCUGCCUCUCAGCUCUCGGUCGUGUUUUAAAGGUUGGACGGAGGAUCCUUGAGGUCCCCUCUAACCUGGGGUUCUGUGGUAUUUUGUGAGAUCCUCCCCUUGUGUCCUGGUGUCCCCGGGGACCCCCUGUCCCCACCCUUUCUCCUCCUUGCUCUUGCUGUCGACGCAGAAUCCUUGCCCUGGUCACACCCGACGCCGGCUUCGCCUCUGCUGCAGGGAGAAAGGAUUUAGUUUCUCUCCACAGUCGGGUGCAGCAGUUUUCCCGGUGGCCCCAGCGACCUCCCUUGGGGCAUGCUGGCAGCCUGUCCCCACAUGCUCUGCCAGCUCCCAGCGAGGGCCCACCUGGUUCCUUCCAUCACCGGCUCAUCCUCAGCCCCUAUGAGGGCGGUGGGGUGACCAUCCCUGCACAGUGUCUUCACUGCUAUUGAUGUGGCUUAGCAGAAAUGAUCAUGCUCGUGGGUGGAGUCAGUUUCCUCACCCAACAAAGCUGUCCUUCCCUGUCUGCGAGCGAGCUGCUGGGCUGCUGUCAAAGGCGACCUUUCAGUGGUGCGCAGCUUCUCGUUAAGGUAGUUUUCUUGACAUCAUGAAGGAGAGCUGUGUGUUUCCCUAGGCUUUCCUCUUUCCAUUUAGUCUGCUGUGAGACAGGCUGCGUACCUAAUGUCCUUUCUCCCUAGGUUUAUUACAGCGUUUUUCUUUCUCAACACCAUCUUCUUUUGCAGAUGGAGAGUUCAGGUCAGCAGCUUCUAACCUUCUCAGUGAGUGACUCUGGCAAUUUAAGAGAAUUCAUGCCUCCAUUCAUUCUUGCAGUACCCGUUGGUGUAAUGAGUGUAGAUACCUACAUCUGGAUAAAAGAAAAUUUUGGCAGAGGGUUGAAUUGGAUCUGGCUUUUUGUGUGUGAUAUAAAUCCCUUAAAUGAUUGGCCCUACAGCCAUUCACCAAGGUUCUUCUGGAAAUAAUUGGUUAAAGAGGAAACCUCUUGGGAAUGUGUCCUGUGCAAGAAGUGUCAGUUGAAAGGAAGACUCUAUGUUGGCAUGUUUUAAAAAACAGCCCAUCCAUGAAGGAAGAAUCCUGACCUCCAUUAAAAUAUCUGUCCACUGGUUGUUCUCCAUGUCGUUACAAUAAAGCAACUGAGUAAUCUGUG
Pezoporus occidentalis (night parrot) is the source of this 1234-nucleotide long non-coding RNA. RefSeq lists it as uncharacterized. NCBI's taxonomy places the organism in Eukaryota, Metazoa, Chordata, Aves, Psittaciformes, Psittacidae. The record is from RefSeq and is a predicted model, not a curated record. The transcript is spliced from 2 exons.